Molecule: long non-coding RNA, 994 nt
Organism: Silurus meridionalis
Lineage: Eukaryota; Metazoa; Chordata; Actinopteri; Siluriformes; Siluridae
Exons: 2
Source: RefSeq, a predicted model, not a curated record
CACCCCAGCACCAGUAUCCCAAUGUAUAAAACAAUCAGUUUCCUCGACCGAUUUACAGCAGCGGCGCUUCAAUGUAAUAACAUAAAAAACAUACACUCGUAAAUAACAGCAAGAAAUCUUGCCUUUCUAUCAAAGAGCAGUCCGAACAAACGACUCUUCAUUCCUUAAAUCCACAAGAACCAUGCAAGGAUGCGUUCUUCAGUGGUGUUGCCACCCCUCAUCAUUCUCAUGCCACCCCCUUGACACCCCAUAAUUCAUUUUCUAGAUCCGCCCCUGGUCUAUUUAACUCUCCUUUUUCUUUUCUCUGUGAUUUUUGGAAUGAGAAGACUGUCCUAUGAGGGGAUUCUGAUGAUGUGAAAGAGUUCAGGUGACAUUUGAGGUCAGUGUGUAUUAGAAGAAGAAGAAGAAGGAGAAGGAGAAGGAGAAGGAGGAGAAGGAGGAGAAAAGGUAUGUCGUGCUGUAUUGAGGGAGAUGAUCUGGGACGGGGAAGAAGAAGAAAAAGAUGGUGUAUUUAGUGCAUACAGCGACUCUGUAAAUAAAACCGAGGCGUGACUGACACCGUGACCAUAAAUGACGCCAGUGUCUCGCCUGUGGCGGAAGUCGCGUCGACGCUGGGACGCGCACUUCACGCACUUCGCGCACUAAACAGUACGCUGGGGCAGGAUUGCGCCCCAGGCAGCCGAGUCUCCAUGGCAACGCUGGCAGCCGCGUACUCGCAUACUACAGAGUGCGGGGAAACAGUGCGCAUGACUGCCGCGCAGGGAGGCUCGGAGCCGGGCGAGGACACGGGCUUUCUCCCCCGCCUCGAGGUUCUCAAGGUUUCAUCCGCCGGGGGAAAAAAGUCAACUCCAAGCUGCCAUUUUACUCCUCUAUCAGUCUCUGUGUCUCUCUGUGUCUCUGUGUCCUUCCUUACAUUCAGUCAUGAAGAUGUCCACCCUCAAACAUGUCCUCUGUCUCCCAUCUUAAUUAAUACAUCAAACUAAAAUAACUACAA